CGGAGGUGUCAGACAGGCAGCACUGAGCUGCUGAGAGGAGAGCAGAGCAGAGGACUGAGGAGUAGGAAAGGGUUGAAGAGGGGAGACACUGGACACUGGGUGUGUGAUGAGACCUAUGGGGAGGAGGUGUGUGAUGAGACCUAUGGGGAGGAGGUGUGUGAUGUGGCCUAUGGAGAGGAGGUGUGUGAUGAGGCCUAUGGGGAGGAGGUGUGUGAUGAGGCCUAUGGGGAGGAGGUGUGUGGUGUGGCCUAUGGAGAGGAGGUGUGUGAUGAGGCCUAUGGGGAGGAGGUGUGUGAUGAGGCCUAUGGGGAGGAGGUGUGUGAUGAGGCCUAUGGAGAGGAGGUGUGUGAUGAGGCCUAUGGGGAGGAGGUGUGUGAUGAGGCCUAUGGGGAGGAG
Long non-coding RNA from Oncorhynchus tshawytscha (Chinook salmon), 396 nucleotides. The record is from Ensembl. Lineage: Eukaryota; Metazoa; Chordata; Actinopteri; Salmoniformes; Salmonidae.